GACGAACGCUGGCGGCGUGCCUAAUACAUGCAAGUAGAACGCACAGUUUAUACCGUAGCUUGCUACACCAUAGACUGUGAGUUGCGAACGGGUGAGUAACGCGUAGGUAACCUGCCUGGUAGCGGGGGAUAACUAUUGGAAACGAUAGCUAAUACCGCAUAAUAUUAAUUAUUGCAAGAUAAUUAAUUGAAAGUUGCAAUUGCACCACUACCAGAUGGACCUGCGUUGUAUUAGCUAGUAGGUGAGGUAACGGCUCACCUAGGCGACGAUACAUAUCCGACCUGAGAGGGUGAUCGGCCACACGGGGACGGAGACACGGCCCAGACUCCUACGGGAGGAAGCAGUAGGGAAUCUUCGGCAAUGGACGAAAGUCUGACCGAGCAACGCCGCGUGAGUGAAGAAGGUUUUCGGAUCGUAAAGCUCUGUUGUAAGAGAAGAACGGGUGUGAGAGUGGAAAGUUCACACUGUGACGGUAUCUUACCAGAAAGGGACGGCUAACUACGU
This 504-nucleotide ribosomal RNA is filed under the name uncultured bacterium. Its description in RNAcentral is "partial 16S ribosomal RNA". It matches the Rfam family "Bacterial small subunit ribosomal RNA", at positions 28 to 506 of the family's 1533-position model. The record is from RNAcentral.